GAUGAACGCUGGCGGCGUGCCUAAUACAUGCAAGUCGAGCGAACGGACGAGAAGCUUGCUUCUCUGAUGUUAGCGGCGGACGGGUGAGUAACACGUGGAUAACCUACCUAUAAGACUGGGAUAACUUCGGGAAACCGGAGCUAAUACCGGAUGAUAUUUUGAACCGCAUGGUUCAAAAGUGAAAGACGGUCUUGCUGUCACUUAUAGAUGGAUCCGCGCUGCAUUAGCUAGUUGGUAAUGUAACGGCUUACCAAGGCAACGAUGCAUAGCCGACCUGAGAGGGUGAUCGGCCACACUGGAACUGAGACACGGUCCAGACUCCUACGGGAGGCAGCAGUAGGGAAUCUUCCGCAAUGGGCGAAAGCCUGACGGAGCAACGCUGCGUGAGUGAUGAAGGUCUUCGGAUCGUAAAACUCUGUUAUUAGGGAAGAACAUAUGUGUAAGUAACUGUGCACAUCUUGACGGUACCUAAUCAGAAAGCCACGGCUAACUACGUG
Molecule: ribosomal RNA, 497 nt
Filed under: uncultured bacterium
Lineage: Bacteria
Description: partial 16S ribosomal RNA
Rfam family: Bacterial small subunit ribosomal RNA
Source: RNAcentral